AACGAACGCUGGCGGCAUGCCUAACACAUGCAAGUCGAACGAUCCCUUCGGGGAUAGUGGCGCACGGGUGCGUAACGCGUGGGAACCUGCCCUUAGGUUCGGAAUAACUCAGAGAAAUUUGAGCUAAUACCGGAUAAUGUCUUCGGACCAAAGAUUUAUCGCCUUUGGAUGGGCCCGCGUUGGAUUAGCUAGUUGGUGGGGUAAAGGCCUACCAAGGCGACGAUCCAUAGCUGGUCUGAGAGGAUGAUCAGCCACACUGGGACUGAGACACGGCCCAGACUCCUACGGGAGGCAGCAGUGGGGAAUAUUGGACAAUGGGCGAAAGCCUGAUCCAGCAAUGCCGCGUGAGUGAUGAAGGCCUUAGGGUUGUAAAGCUCUUUUACCCGGGAUGAUAAUGACAGUACCGGGAGAAUAAGCCCCGGCUAACUACGUG
Molecule: ribosomal RNA, 433 nt
Filed under: uncultured bacterium
Lineage: Bacteria
Description: partial 16S ribosomal RNA
Rfam family: Bacterial small subunit ribosomal RNA
Source: RNAcentral